Molecule: long non-coding RNA, 4256 nt
Organism: Callithrix jacchus (white-tufted-ear marmoset)
Lineage: Eukaryota; Metazoa; Chordata; Mammalia; Primates; Cebidae
Source: RefSeq, a predicted model, not a curated record
UCCCAAAAUGCUGGUAUUACAGACCUGAGCCACUGUGCCCAGCCCAGCCGAUGCUUACUAAUGAACCAUCCAAGGUGGUUCAUUCAUUAGAGAAUUAGCCAGAUCCCUGGAUUUUUCUCUCUUCUUUUACCUGUUCUUUUCUAGGGUAACCAACUGUCCAAGUCUACUUGAGACCAAAGGAUUUCCCAGGACACAAGAUAGGCAUAUAUGUGUGCGCGCGCACACACACGUAUGUCCAGCAUUCUUCUCGCUCCAGUAGACUACAGCCUCCUUCAAGGAAGGAUCUCUUUGUUCUUCUGUAUCAGCUGCCGCAUUGAAGAUACUUUGUUGAAAAUGAACAAACUGAGCCUGUCACUUCAAUAAAAAACAACUGAUAGUAUUUGUGGCCAAUUAUGAAGUUUCAGUUUUAAAGCAGAAUUAGAACUUUGCAAAACUUGCAUGUGCUGCUGUUAGUGUGAUGGCUGCCCGAUACGGAAAGGCUUUUCAGGGGAAAAGUUAACUGGAAGGUCUUCAAGGGAGACAGCUCUUUGGCUGUGGAGCUGGCCCACAUCUCACCCUCCACCGGUGGAGGGAGCCCAGCCCAUCCUUCUUCACCCCUGUUGAUGGGUAUUCAACUCAGGUUCCUGCAUGCACGGUUGAUAUGGAGAGUGAAAUGGGCAAGACCUAAGGGUUCUGAUACCCUGAUCUUCUCUGGUAUCACAGAAGCUCUCCUGGCAAGGACAAAAGAAAGAGGUUGGUCAUAGGCUGGGCAUGGUGGCUCAUGCCUGUAGUCCUAGCACUUUGGGAGGCCGAGGGGUCCAAUCACCUGAGGUCAGGAGUUGAAGACCAGCCUGGCCAACAUAAUGAAACCCUGUCUCUACUGAAAAUAUAAAAUUACCGGGGUGUGGUGGUGGGUGCCUAUAAUCCCAGCUAUUCGGAAGGCUGAGGCAGGAGAAUCUCUUGAACCCUGGAGGCAGAGGUUGCAGUGAGCCGAGAUUGCGCCAUUGCACUCCAGCCUGGGCAACAGGAGCAAAACUGUUUCAAAAAAAAAAAAAAAAAGGGCCAGGUGUGGUGGUUCAUGCCUAUAAUUCCAGCACUUUGGGAGGCCGAGGCGGGCGGAUCACCUGAGGUCACGAGUUCUAAACCAGCCUGACCAACAUGGUGAAACCCCAUCUGUACUAAAAAUACAAAAAAUUAGCCGAGUGCAGUGGCACGUGCCUGUAAUCCCAGCUACUCAGGAGGUUGAGGCAAGAGAAUCGCUUGAACCUGGGAGGCAGAGGUUGUGGUGAGGCGAGAUCGUGCCAUUGCACUCCAGCCUGGGUGGCAGAGCAAGACUUCAUCUAAAAGGAAAAAAAUAAGAAGAAAGAAAGCGGUUGGUCCUGAGGAGAGAGGAGCCUUCCAGAAGUAUCCAUGCCUUCCUGGAAGACUCAGCGGAGAACCAGGCUAAUCUCGGGGAUAAAAGGAUUAAAGGCACGGCUCAGCCUUCCAAGGGCAAGGGUUGGAAUGGCUGCCCUGAUCUGGGACAUGGAGUUGUCUCUCUUGGGAGAGUAAAGACGGAGGCUUUUUGGGGACAGGAUGCGGGGGGGCAGGUGGGUGACUCUGUACCACUCCUGUUGGCACUUCCUCCCCUGGUGCUGCUGAGGCUGGUCUGUCAGGUGCUGAGGAGGUGCUUCCUAGCUCCAGACACUGGGCAGUGGGAGGUGGAUGCCUGGGGAAACAGCUUGUCUGAGAGGAAGGCCUGAGGUUCCUGGGGAGAAACUAUCUCACUUCCUCUUUUCUCCGGCUGAAAUGCCACACAGCCUUCCUUGGGGGCCAGUGGCGGAUCUGGGCCUGCCCCAUAGAAGUUUGAGAGGCUGCUACAUACAGGAGACCGGAGUGGUCAGGAGGAAUGCAGGAGCCCCGGUGGCCUAAUCCCCAGGGCCUGGAAGGAGGGUGUGGCUGGUACAGACUAGGACUGCAGUUUCACCAACAAAAACCCCUCUAAAGCCUGGAGGCCAGGAUGUGUGAAUUAUAGGCCUGGCCUGAGGGAGCCUUGGGCCUCACACCCUCUAGGGUAGAUAAGGAUGGAUCAAAGGAAACUGCAGGGGCCCACCCCUCAUAAAGGGGACCCGCUGCCCGGUGGCUAGAGUGAUAAGGCAGAUGAUAUAUAUGCACGGAGAUUUUGGAGCCUCCUGCACAAACAUUCCCCUGUGUGUGAGCCGGCCUCGUGCCUCCCCGGCACAGCCCAUCACCCCAGUGUUGCUGGGUCUUUCAUCCUGCCAAAUCAUCUAGUAGAAUUCCUUCCAGCCCUUCUCCUCUGCUGGCUUAUCCUGUGGAGUCCAGGUUGGCCUUUGAGGACCUGCUCCCCCUGGCGGGACAUUGUGCCUGUCUCGUGCCAGGCUUUGGGGUCAGCCAACUUUGCUACAGCCUCUAAAAAAAAAUCUGAUCCCUGGCUGGGCUUGGUGGCUCAUGCCUGUAAUCCCAGCACCUUGGGAAGCCUAGGCAGGCAGACUGUCUGAGGUCAGGAGUUUGAGACCAGCCUGGCCAACGUGGUAAGGCCCCGUCUCUACUAAAAAUACCCACACAAAAAAAUUAGCCAGGCGUGGUGGCAGGCGCCUGUAAUCCCAGCUACUUGGGAGGCUGAGGCAGGGGAAUUGCUUGAAUCAGGGAGGUGGAAGUUGUAGAGAGCCAAGAUUGCGCCACUACACUCUAGCCUAGGCCACAGAGUGAGACUCUGUCUCAAAAAAAAAGAAAAAAAGACAAAAAAUCUGACCCCUAAGCCCUGGGGAGAAGUGUAGCUUUCGCUGGAGGUCUUAUGGUGGUACAGAAGAGAGGGUCACACCACACGUUAAUCACCCAGCAACACUAGGCAUCAGACUCCCCUGCCCUGAAGAUGUUUCUACCCUUUCUGGCAUCCCUGUUCAUUGGCACUGGGCUCCCAGGCCUCCUCUUCCCUUCCUGCUGUUUUUUCGGACUUAAAAGCCCGUCUGCUCUCCCAGGUAAUGUGGCCUUUCUCAGAUCUUUCUCCCAGGCCUCCCUGGAAUUUCCCUUAGCUUGAGGAUUGCAGUUUUCACUCAGCAGACAAAACCAGAGCAGAGCUCAGCAAACAGCUGCACUGUGAUGGCCUGCAGGUUCCUACACCUGCCUGGGGAAUCCCCCUCGCUUCAUCCCACCACACCUAAAGAAAAGGAGAGCCGCAGGAGGUCUGACGGUGGGUGCACGGGGCCCAGCUGGGAGGCCUGCCCAAGCUCCUGCCUAUGCUGGCCUUUGUUCCUGGGGCAUUUCCAAAGCUCAGGGCUUGGGCUUUGUCCAUUCUCAGGAACCGGGAAAUGAUGCCUGACCACCCCAAACCCAGCAAUCUUUCCUGCUUCCAAACAAAGAGGCCUUUUGAUUUUACAUACUCUCUUGGCCCUUACAUGCCAAAAGGUCUUGGGUAAUAAAAAGAAGAUUAUCAGCAAACACUCACAGAGCACUUACUAUGUUCCAGGUGCUAUUUUAAAUGUUAUAGUUAUUAACUCAUUUAAUCCCAGGAGUUGAGACGGGCUGUCUGGUUUCCUUCGCUAUAUAGUGAAAGGCUCAGGGGCAGGGAGAGGGUGGCACAUUUUUGUAUUCUCUCCAUUCCUUACACUCCAGGAAUGUUUGCAGACUGACUCAGCCUGCUCUGGGGAGGUCGUAGUGGAUCCUGGUUACUCACUUUCCCUUUCUUUUCCAACAGGGCUGUGUUCCACCCCUUUCCUGUUCUCUCAGGGAGAAAGAGUGGAAUGGUAGGACACGGUGUGAAGGGGUUUCCAGAUCCCCAGAUGGCAGGUGGGACAGCUUGCCUGCCCAUCAAAGAAGUUGCCUCCUGGAGACACAUCUGGGCAUUCUGGCAGGAGGAGCAAGAGAGGCACUGUGUGUGUGUGUGUGUGAUUGUGUGCAUGAGUGUGCAAGUGUGUAUGUGUGUAUGUAUAAGAGUGUGUGUGUGAGAGAGAGUGUGGGUGGGUGAGUGUGUGUGUGUGAUAGUGUGAGUGUGUGUGAGUGUAUUUGUGUGUAUGUAUGUGAGUGUGGGUGACUGAAAGUGUGUAAUGAGUUGGGUUUCCUUUUCACGCUUUCCUGGAUUUGCUACCAUGAUCAACUAUGACUUUUACACUCUCAAUAGGGAAAUUAACUGCUAAGGAGGCUGAGACUGGAGGACCACUUGAACCCAGAAGGUUGAGGCUGUAGUGAGCCACUGCCCUCCAGCCUGGACAACAGAGCAAGACCAUGUCUCAAAAAAAAUAAAUAAAUAAAAGAGAGUGAGAAAGAGAUGCAGAGUUAGA